CGCAGCUUCCGGCACGGCCUUCAAGCGCGGGACGCGACAAAGUCAUGGACCGCAACCCCUCGCCGCCGCCGCCGGGUCGCGACAAGGAGGAGGAGGAGGAGGUGGCCGGUGGAGACUGCAUAGGGAGCACGGUCUACAGCAAACACUGGCUCUUCGGCGUCCUCAGCGGACUCAUCCAGAUUGUUAGCCCUGAAAACACCAAAUCUAGCUCAGAUGAUGAGGAGCAGCUGACGGAUCUUGAUGAAGAAAUGGAGAAUGAAAUUUGCAGAGUAUGGGAUAUGUCAAUGGAUGAGGACGUGGCUGUAUUUCUCCAAGAAUUUAAUGCUCCUGAUAUAUUCAUGGGAGUACUGGCCAAGUCCAAGUGUCCUCGAUUAAGAUUUUCCUGUCAACGGGACCAAUAUCACUGACGGGGAAAUGAGGCAACUUGAAAGCUAGGAGUCAAGUUCAACUGCUUUCUCCUUUAUCCUCACACUGGAUUAUUUUGCUUUCACCUUGAGAGUCUUCCUCAGCUUCAUCCUUUUCCAUGCCUGAGGGCCCUCCUCC
Molecule: small RNA, 543 nt
Filed under: Pan troglodytes (chimpanzee)
Lineage: Eukaryota; Metazoa; Chordata; Mammalia; Primates; Hominidae
Description: processed transcript
Source: RNAcentral